CAAGUUCCACUUGGUUUAGUAAGCAUUUCUAUUGGUCGAGAGCAAAGUCUUUUGUAUUUCACUAAAAUAGAAUUGCAAACUAAAUCAAAACACAAUCUCUCCGUGCACCCCUAACUUAUUCUCUCUAUAUAUCCCAAAAUAACUCUUAGUGAUUAUCGCCGUAAACAGUCAGUCAAAUAUAGAUAAAAUAGCUCUUGAAGGUUACAUUCAUGAGUUAACAGAAGUAAAAACAGCAAAUAACAGGAAAAGAACCAGCUAUUUUAAACUCAAUUUGCAAACUUCAUCAACGGAUACUGUCCAGAUGGUAUGUUAUUCUCCCAAGAAAAGAAAGACUCUCCAGCCACACUUCCAAGCUAAAAGUCCUGUUAAGUUAGAAGCUUUGAAAAAGAAUGACAAAGAAUAUACGAUCGACAAAAAUGCCCAAAUCGUACAAUAUAAGGAGGUCCACUUUGAGUUCAAUAAUUCACUCGAUGAUCACUUGCUUACAAUAGAACAGGCGCUUGGUAGCAACGAGUACACCAAGGUCGAUCUCAAAGGCAAAAUCAUGAAGAAAGACGAAACCAAGCAAAGGAUAAUAAAGGGCAACAAUGAAACUUACAAAAUCGACAGUAUCUUAGCAGAUCAGAGUGACUCCAUAAAAUUAGUUUUAUGGGAAAACAAGAUCGAGGAGGUAGUUGCUCGUAAAUCAUACCAUUUCCAAAACCUCACCGUUAGAGUUUAUCAAGAUGAGAAAUAUGUGAACACAAAACCCGAACACAUCAAUCAAGGAAAUAGACGAAAAUAUCAACGUGAACUUGGAUACACCGGAAAUCCAAAGUAACCUCUUAAAGGGACAAGUUAUCGGACAGAUAAAACGAAACAGGUCCUGCUUAAUCUGCAACCAGAUUUGCACCAAGCUUGAUGACACAGAAGAAGAUAUGUUUACAUGUGGACAUUGUCAUAUGACAACCCUCAAAUCUCUUUGUCAAGAAAAAGUAGUUUGCAGUAUUAUGAUAAAAAGCGAGAAAGAGUAGUCUUCAUUACCCAAUAUCACGUCAAACAGCUCAAGAAUACCAGUAUCUUUGAGAGCUAAGGAUAUGACAAAACAAAAUUAGCCUGGCUAUCUUCAAUGGUAUACUUAAAGAUGUAAGACAUAUCUUUCACAAAGCCAGCUAUUAUACACUCCUCUCUUUUUAUAAGAACAUCUAAUUUUUAGUUGAGGCUGGGCCGUUCUUAUUUUUGGAGCAUUUUGAGGCUGAAAAAGUUCUUAUGGAUGAUCUUAAAUUUCAGUGUAUAAAAAUAUUAUACUUCAUGAAUAUAAGAAAAUUACACACAUAAUAAAAUAACAAUGAUGUU
Molecule: long non-coding RNA, 1335 nt
Organism: Nematostella vectensis (starlet sea anemone)
Lineage: Eukaryota; Metazoa; Cnidaria; Anthozoa; Actiniaria; Edwardsiidae
Exons: 2
Source: RefSeq, a predicted model, not a curated record